Molecule: ribosomal RNA, 461 nt
Filed under: Fusarium graminearum
Lineage: Eukaryota; Fungi; Ascomycota; Sordariomycetes; Hypocreales; Nectriaceae
Description: eukaryotic LSU rRNA
Rfam family: 5.8S ribosomal RNA (bases 94-247)
Source: RNAcentral
CAGCCCGCGCCCCGUAAAAAGGGACGGCCCGCCGCAGGAACCCUAAACUCUGUUUUUAGUGGAACUUCUGAGUAUAAAAAACAAAUAAAUCAAAACUUUCAACAACGGAUCUCUUGGUUCUGGCAUCGAUGAAGAACGCAGCAAAAUGCGAUAAGUAAUGUGAAUUGCAGAAUUCAGUGAAUCAUCGAAUCUUUGAACGCACAUUGCGCCCGCCAGUAUUCUGGCGGGCAUGCCUGUUCGAGCGUCAUUUCAACCCUCAAGCCCAGCUUGGUGUUGGGAGCUGCAGUCCUGCUGCACUCCCCAAAUACAUUGGCGGUCACGUCGAGCUUCCAUAGCGUAGUAAUUUACACAUCGUUACUGGUAAUCGUCGCGGCCACGCCGUUAAACCCCAACUUCUGAAUGUUGACCUCGGAUCAGGUAGGAAUACCCGCUGAACUUAAGCAUAUCAAUAGGCCGGAGGA